UGAGGUUGGGGAUUUUCCUGAAGUGACUCCUCUUAUUUGGAUUGUAUUAGGGAUGGGGGUCUCUAUCGAGGUUUUCUAAGCUUCGGAUCGCUACCGUGAUAUCAGUGCACACUUUUCCUUUGGUCUGACCUUCGAUACUGUUGGGGGCAUCGCGUUUUGGUCCCCAUGAAAUCAUGUAGACUCUUUUAUUUGGUGCUGGAGGUGUAGAGCUUGGUGAUUCAAGCUCGGUUUCUCUAUUUUUUUUUAUUUGAAGAGCCUUUAGUUUUCCGGUUGGCUUUUGGAGUUGUUGGCGCUUCUUCUUCUUCGAUAUCUUCGCUGGUUUCUUUAGCUUUGACUGCGAAGUGCUG
Molecule: long non-coding RNA, 347 nt
Filed under: Brassica napus (rape)
Lineage: Eukaryota; Viridiplantae; Streptophyta; Magnoliopsida; Brassicales; Brassicaceae
Description: long non-coding RNA (BNAP_LNC024023)
Source: RNAcentral